ACUUAAAUAGCUUAUUUAGAGUAUAAUUUUGAAGAAAUUAGGGUAAUUUUGAAUUUUUAAGUA
RNAcentral lists this transfer RNA (63 nucleotides) under Sermyloides sp. BMNH 846593. Its description in RNAcentral is "tRNA-Phe". Lineage: Eukaryota; Metazoa; Arthropoda; Insecta; Coleoptera; Chrysomelidae. The record is from RNAcentral.